RNAcentral lists this ribosomal RNA (491 nucleotides) under uncultured bacterium. RNAcentral describes it as "partial 16S ribosomal RNA". It matches the Rfam family "Bacterial small subunit ribosomal RNA", at positions 29 to 507 of the family's 1533-position model. The record is from RNAcentral.
AGUGAACGCUGGCGGUAGGCCUAACACAUGCAAGUCGAACGGCAGCACAGUAAGAGCUUGCUCUUACGGGUGGCGAGUGGCGGACGGGUGAGGAAUACAUCGGAAUCUACUUUUUCGUGGGGGAUAACGUAGGGAAACUUACGCUAAUACCGCAUACGACCUACGGGUGAAAGCAGGGGAUCUUCGGACCUUGCGCGAUUGAAUGAGCCGAUGUCGGAUUAGCUAGUUGGCGGGGUAAAGGCCCACCAAGGCGACGAUCCGUAGCUGGUCUGAGAGGAUGAUCAGCCACACUGGAACUGAGACACGGUCCAGACUCCUACGGGAGGCAGCAGUGGGGAAUAUUGGACAAUGGGCGCAAGCCUGAUCCAGCCAUACCGCGUGGGUGAAGAAGGCCUCGGGUUGUAAAGCCCUUUUGUUGGGAAAGAAAAGCAGCAGGUUAAUACCCCGCUGUUCUGACGGUACCCAAAGAAUAAGCACCGGCUAACUUCGUG